This 916-nucleotide ribosomal RNA is filed under the name uncultured archaeon. RNAcentral's name for it is "SSU rRNA". It matches the Rfam family "Archaeal small subunit ribosomal RNA", at positions 1 to 922 of the family's 1478-position model. The record is from RNAcentral.
UUUCCGGUUGAUCCUGCCGGACCUGACUGCUAUCGGAUUGAUACUAAGCCAUGCGAGUCUUUGUAGUAAUACAAGGCAGACGGCUCAGUAACACGUAGUCAACCUACCCUAUGGACGAGAAUAAUCUCGGGAAACUGAGCAUAAUUCUUGCUAGAUCAUAAUGCCUGGAAUGGUUUAUGGUUAAAAUGAUUCGUCGCCAUAGGAUGGGACUGCGGCCUAUCAGCUUGUUGGUGAGGUAAUGGCCCACCAAGGCGAUUACAGGUACGGGCUCUGAGAGGAGAAGCCCGGAGAUGGGUACUGAGACACGGACCCAGGCCCUAUGGGGCGCAGCAGGCGAGAAAACUUUGCAAUGUGCGAAAGCACGACAAGGUUAAUCCGAGUGAUUUCUGCUAAAGAAAUCUUUUGCCAGUCGUAAAACCGCUGGUGAAUAAGGGGUGGGCAAGUUCUGGUGUCAGCCGCCGCGGUAAAACCAGCACCUCAAGUGGUCAGGAUGAUUAUUGGGCCUAAAGCAUCCGUAGCCGGCUUUGUAAGUUUUCGGUUAAAUCCAUGUGCUCAACGCAUGGGCUGCCGAAAAUACUGCAUAGCUAGGGAGUGGAAGAGGUAGACGGUACUCAGUAGGUAGGGGUAAAAUCCUUUGAUCUAUUGAUGACCACCUGUGGCGAAGGCGGUCUACCAGAACACGUUCGACGGUGAGGGAUGAAAGCUGGGGGAGCAAACCGGAUUAGAUACCCGGGUAGUCCCAGCUGUAAACGAUGCAGACUCGAUGAUGCAUUGGCAUAAUAGCCAUUGCAGUGUCGCAGGGAAGCCGUUAAGUCUGCCGCCUGGGAAGUACGUACGCAAGUAUGAAACUUAAAGGAAUUGGCGAGGGAGCACCACAAGGGGUGAAGCCUGCGGUUCAAUUGGAGUCAACGCCGGA